Molecule: ribosomal RNA, 469 nt
Filed under: uncultured bacterium
Lineage: Bacteria
Description: partial 16S ribosomal RNA
Rfam family: Bacterial small subunit ribosomal RNA
Source: RNAcentral
GACGAACGCUGGCGGCGUGCUUAACACAUGCAAGUCGAACGGAAAGGCCCUGCUUUUGGGGGACGCUCGAGGGGCGAACGGGUGAAUAACACGUGAGUUACCUGCCCCUCUCUUUGGUAUAACUUGAGGAAUCGGGGGCUUAUACCGGAUAGGAGCUCCUGCUGCUUGGUGGGGGUUAGAUAUUUUUGGCGGUUUGGGAUGGGCGCGCUGCUGAUUGGCUUGUUGGUGGGGUAGUGGCCUACCAAGGCUUUGACGGGUAGCCGGGCUGGGAGGGUGGACGGCCACAUUGGGGACGGGGAAAGGGCCCGACCCCUACGGGGGGGAAGAAGGGGGGAAUAUGGAACAUUGGGCGAAGGCUGAAGGAGCGAAGGCGGGGUGGGGAAGAAGGGCUUUGGGUUGGAAACCCGCUUCGGUAUGGAACGAAGCGUGUGUGACGGUAAUGAGUAAAGAAGCACCGGCUAACUACGUG